Molecule: ribosomal RNA, 624 nt
Filed under: Pristimantis katoptroides
Lineage: Eukaryota; Metazoa; Chordata; Amphibia; Anura; Strabomantidae
Description: partial 16S ribosomal RNA
Rfam family: Archaeal large subunit ribosomal RNA (bases 382-624)
Source: RNAcentral
UACUCACCUUACUUUAGAGCAAUUCAAAUGAGGUACAGCCCAUUUGACCCAGGAUACAACCUUCACUAACGGGUAAUAUUCAUCAAUCACUUUUAAGUAGGCCUAAAAACAGCCACCUUUUAAAAAGCGUCAAAGCUUAACUCUGUUAACACUAAUUUAACAACCCCCACAGACCCCUUAAAUAGUACCGAGAACUUCUAUAAUUCUAUAGAACCUCUUAUGCUAAAACUAGUAACAAGAGAUAAACCCUCUCUUAAUGUAAACAUAAGCCAGAAAGAACCCUUCACUGGCAAUUAACAGACCCCCAUAAAAGUAGCAACUCCCCUAGAAAACCCUACUUUCCACCUCCACUGUUAACCUAACACCAGAACAUUACAAGAAAGAUUAAAAGAAAAAGAAGGAACUCGGCAAACUCUAGUCCCGCCUGUUUACCAAAAACAUCGCCUCUUGCCCCCACCAUAAGAGGUCCAGCCUGCCCAGUGACUCUGUUUAACGGCCGCGGUAUCCUAACCGUGCGAAGGUAGCGUAAUCACUUGUCUUCUAAAUAAAGACUAGUAUGAAAGGCAUUACGAAGACUAAGCUGUCUCCUUUUUCUAAUCAGUGAACCUAAUCUCCCCGUGAAGA